RNAcentral lists this ribosomal RNA (391 nucleotides) under uncultured bacterium. RNAcentral describes it as "bacterial SSU rRNA". It matches the Rfam family "Bacterial small subunit ribosomal RNA", at positions 505 to 898 of the family's 1533-position model. The record is from RNAcentral.
GUGUCAGCAGCCGCGGUAAUACAGAGGGUGCAAGCGUUAUCCGGAUUCACUGGGUUUAAAGGGUGCGUAGGUGGAUUAGUAAGUCUGUGGUGAAAUCUCCGAGCUUAACUCGGAAACUGCCAUGGAUACUAUUAGUCUUGAAUCUCCUGGAGGUAAGCGGAAUAUGUCAUGUAGCGGUGAAAUGCUUAGAUAUGACAUAGAACACCAAUUGCGAAGGCAGCUUACUACAAGAGUAUUGACACUGAGGCACGAAAGCGUGGGGAUCAAACAGGAUUAGAUACCCUGGUAGUCCACGCCCUAAACGAUGAUUACUCGACAUACGCGAUACACUGUGUGUGUCUGAGCGAAAGCAUUAAGUAAUCCACCUGGGAAGUACGAUCGCAAGAUUGAA